AUGAGUCUUCUCUGCUGGAACUGUCGCGGGGAUGGCAAACCUGCGGCGGUUCGAGAGCUUCGUGAACUAACGAAGCAAUAUGCCCCCUCUGUACUUUGCAUAAUUGAGACUCAAAUAGAGGGUACUAGAGUAGAGAAUAUGGUUGGUUCUUUAGGUUUUAAUAAGAGCUUCGCUGUUAGUAGCUCGGGGAGAAGUGGUGGUCUCGGAGUUUUUUGGAACGAAGAAAUAAAGCUUGAGAUUGUUGGUUAUUCGCAGUAUCAUAUUGAUGCAAUCAUUGAUAACCUUGUAGAUGUGAAAACAAGGGUAACUUUUGUCUAUGGGGAAGCUCAGGUCAAUGAAAGAUACAAAACGUGGGACAUGCUUAGAGGAAUUGUAGGUGUUGGGGAACGUAGUAAUUUCAAAAAAAUUCCUACGCACACGCAAGAUCAUGGUGAUGCAUAG
RNAcentral lists this ribosomal RNA (441 nucleotides) under Triticum aestivum (bread wheat). RNAcentral's name for it is "partial small subunit ribosomal RNA". The record is from RNAcentral. Lineage: Eukaryota; Viridiplantae; Streptophyta; Magnoliopsida; Poales; Poaceae.